Molecule: ribosomal RNA, 752 nt
Filed under: uncultured bacterium
Lineage: Bacteria
Description: bacterial SSU rRNA
Rfam family: Bacterial small subunit ribosomal RNA
Source: RNAcentral
CCUGACGAUAUCCCGCUGCAGCAUUGCGGUGGGAUCAAAGGUUCCGCAAGGAAUGCCGAAAGAUGGGCCUGCGUCCCAUUAGGUAGUUGGUAGGGUAACGGCCUACCAAGCCUACGAUGGGUAGCUGGUCUGAGAGGAUGGUCAGCCACACUGGAACUGAGACACGGUCCAGACUCCUACGGGGGGCAGCAGUGAGGAAUAUUGCGCAAUGCCCGAAAGGGUGACGCAGCGACGCCGCGUGGAGGAUGAAGGCCCUACGGGUCGUAAACUCCUUUUGUGGGGGAAGAAUGUCCCGCUACAGGCGGGAUUGACGGUACCCCGCGAAUAAGCACCGGCUAACUACGUGCCAGCAGCCGCGGUAAUACGUAGGGUGCGAGCGUUGUCCGGAUUCACUGGGUGUAAAGGGUCCGCAGGUGGGUUGGUAAGUCAGUGGUGAAAUCCCGUGGCUCAACCGCGGGACUGCCACUGAUACUGCCGAUCUUGAGUACGGGAGAGGAAGAUGGAAUUCCUGGUGUAGCGGUGAAAUGCGUAGAUAUCAGGAAGAACACCGGUGGCGAAGGCGGUCUUCUGGCCCGUUACUGACGCUCAUGGACGAAAGCGUGGGGAGCAAACAGGAUUAGAUACCCUGGUAGUCCACGCCUUAAACGAUGGAUGCUCGAUGUCGGUCCGAAAGGGUCGGUGUCUAAGCUAACGCAUUAAGCAUCCCACCUGGGGAGUACGAUCGCAAGGUUGAAACUCAAAGGAAUUGACGG